UCUGUGGUUUAGAGUUGACUCACAGCUCCUCACUCGUGUGUUUGUUCGUCAGCGAGUACGCGGUGAGGGAACGCCGCGACAGCUCCUCGGAGCGGGGGCGCCGCAGCCAGAGCCAGGACGGCUGCAGCCCCGACAGCGCCUGUUCGCUCGGAUACGACAGCAGGGAGUCCAUCCCGGACUGCAGCCCGGACUGGGGGCCUCUCGGAAAACCGGAGCCGAGCAGCUACGGAGAGUCUCGUAACCGCAGCAGCUCUGAGGAGGAAGAGGAGGAUGAGAAAGAGGAAACGCCGGAGGCGGUGACGAGUUUGGACGAAGCUCUGAGGAGAGUCAACGCCGACCACGGCCAGCAGGACUUCCUGAAGGAGAACUACGAGACGCUGGGAGAAAGCUGCGGCAUUGAGCAGAACUGCGCCCAAAGGGUCAGCAUCUCCUCGCGCUUCCUGUCCAGAGGACGCCAUGACAGAA
This 465-nucleotide long non-coding RNA is filed under the name Oryzias javanicus (javanese ricefish). Its description in RNAcentral is "lncRNA (ENSOJAG00000019790.1)". The record is from RNAcentral. Lineage: Eukaryota; Metazoa; Chordata; Actinopteri; Beloniformes; Adrianichthyidae.